This 741-nucleotide ribosomal RNA is filed under the name uncultured Glomus. Its description in RNAcentral is "partial 28S ribosomal RNA". The record is from RNAcentral. Lineage: Eukaryota; Fungi; Glomeromycota; Glomeromycetes; Glomerales; Glomeraceae.
UACGUCAACAUCCUUAACGAAUUUAACCCGUUCUAACCUUUUGACCGUACACUAUAAUACCAUAAGCAAGCUUUCGGCACCAGAGUGACAUGUCAGAGGCCAGGCGGAUAGCCCAUGAGGGUAUUCAUUGCAAUCCUCGAUCCCAUCCGUUACAUAUACCAAAGGCUAUAACACUUCAAUACGAGAUCGAAGCUACAUUCCUCCAGUCAUUUUAUAACGGUCGAAACCGACGUUGACCUACAAUACGAGAAAGUGCACCCAAAAAGAGCAGGUUGUGAAAAACAAAGGCUCUCUGAAUCCCACAAGUCCACCCUCAAAAGGUUGAUUCCCCGUUAGUACGACUGACUUUAAUCGUUUCCCUUUCAACAAUUUCACGUACUGUUUAACUCUCUUUUCAAAGUUCUUUUCAUCUUUCCCUCACGGUACUUGUUCGCUAUCGGUUUCUCGCCAAUAUUUAGCUUUAGAUGGAAUUUACCACCCAUUUUGAGCUGCAUUCCCAAACAACUCGACUCGUUGAGAGCACAACACAAAGUACUGGGAGUCCAUGUCAAGGACGGGAUUCUCACCCUCUAUGACGCUCUGUUCCAAGAGACUUGUACAUGGUCCAGCACGGAUGAUGCUUCUCUAGACUACAACUCGGACAGAAUACACUGCCAGAUUUUAAAUUUGAGCUCUUCCCGCUUCACUCGCCGUUACUAGGGGAAUCCUUGUUAGUUUCUUUUCCUCCGCUUAUUGAUAUCG